Molecule: ribosomal RNA, 327 nt
Filed under: Triticum aestivum (bread wheat)
Lineage: Eukaryota; Viridiplantae; Streptophyta; Magnoliopsida; Poales; Poaceae
Description: partial small subunit ribosomal RNA
Source: RNAcentral
AUGCGGCGCGCCGUGGAGCUCGGCGCCAAAAGAACGGAGGCGCAGCGGCCUCUGUUCAUGGCCAACAAGGCCAGCGACACCCCGCUGCACCAGGUUGUGCAACACGGCAGGAGGGCCAGGCGCAGGAGACCAGCCUCCGCGGCGACGUGCCCGCUGGCGCCAGGCGCAGGAGCAAGACGACGUCGACGCGGUGGGGGUGUCCCCAGGGCCUCCCUCGCGCAGGAGCUGCACGACCCAGAGCACCUCUUCACCCAACAUUUCGUCGCCAACGGCCGCGUGCUCGCCCAAGCCGACGGCCUCAUGGUUAACUCCUUCAACGCGUUGUAG